RNAcentral lists this ribosomal RNA (497 nucleotides) under uncultured bacterium. RNAcentral's name for it is "partial 16S ribosomal RNA". It matches the Rfam family "Bacterial small subunit ribosomal RNA", at positions 28 to 507 of the family's 1533-position model. The record is from RNAcentral.
GAUGAACGCUGGCGGCGUGCCUAAUACAUGCAAGUCGAGCGAACGGACGAGAAGCUUGCUUCUCUGAUGUUAGCGGCGGACGGGUGAGUAACACGUGGAUAACCUACCUAUAAGACUGGGAUAACUUCGGGAAACCGGAGCUAAUACCGGAUAAUAUUUUGAACCGCAUGGUUCAAAAGUGAAAGACGGUCUUGCUGUCACUUAUAGAUGGAUCCGCGCUGCAUUAGCUAGUUGGUAAGGUAACGGCUUACCAAGGCAACGAUGCAUAGCCGACCUUAGAGGGUGAUCGGCCACACUGGAACUGAGACACGGUCCAGACUCCUACGGGAGGCAGCAGUAGGGAAUCGUCCGCAAUGGGCGGAAGCCUGACGGAGCAACGCCGCGUGAGUGAUGAAGGUCUUCGGAUCGUAAAACUCUGUUAUUAGGGAAGAACAUAUGUGUAAGUAACUGUGCACAUCUUGACGGUACCUAAUCAGAAAGCCACGGCUAACUACGUG